CUGGCCGCAGGAGCUGCGGCGGCCCCGCCCCGAGCACGCGGAGCAGCCAUGGCGCCGGGCGGGCAGGCGGGCGGCGGCGGCGGCCCCGGGUCCCCCCGCGAGGGGCUGCGGGACUGGGUCCGGAGCGCCUGCCGCUUCGCCGCCGACAGGAGCGACUUCCGCAGAAACCUCAUAGUUAACCUGGGGCUUUUUGCUGCCGGAGUCUGGGUAGCCCGAAACUUGACAGACAUUGAUUUGAUGGCUCCUCAACCAGUUGCAUAGCAGUACCAGUGAGUACCUGACAUUGUGAAGGAGUCUCCCCUCCACUGCUUUAUACUACCCCUUAGAGCUGUCAACAGCCUUCCACUUCCUGUGGAUUGAGCUCCUCCCCCUCCUUUUUUCACACCUAUUUUAGUGAAGCUGUACUAGUGUGAUUUGCUCAUUACUACAUCCUUUUUUGCCAAGGCCUCAGGAUGUGAAUAAAGUGUACCUGCAUCAAGUCUGAAGAGCUUCUAAUCCCAGUGUGACAGGAUGACCAAAAUGAUGAUCAGAAGAGCUGUGUGGUUUUUGUUGCUUUUGUUCUAGGUAACUGAAAGUUCAGCAGCAGUUCUAAAAUUGUAUUUUAAUUCAAGCAUAGCUAUCAUUCCACAAUGAACAGUGAUAAGUGAGGAGAAGCCAUUUAACGCUUGAUGUUUGUUGUAUAUUCAGUUCACCCCACUGAGCUCAAUGUCUAUUAAAGUAAUCAGUUAUAUUUUCAAGACUUGUGAAGCUGUUGCAUAUUGAGUUUAAUUCUGUACCAUGUCUAGAAGCUUCUUAUUAAAUUAUCAUAAUGUGUGAAAUAAUGACA
RNA transcript from Chelonia mydas (Green sea turtle), 826 nucleotides. It is a transcript of the gene named translocase of outer mitochondrial membrane 6, with no coding region annotated. The record is from RefSeq and is a predicted model, not a curated record. NCBI's taxonomy places the organism in Eukaryota, Metazoa, Chordata, Testudines, Cheloniidae. The transcript has 4 exons.